AAUACAAAUAGAAUGAUUGUGGGAGUUAUAGAAGACCUGUUCCAAAUUUGUGAAAUGUUACUUCCUGAGUUCUGACUAGCAAACAUCAUAUUUGAGACCAGAGCCAGCCAUCACAACCACACAAUAUGCAAGUUUUUCUUGUGCAGUUGUUGAACUGUGACCAGCAACAAUCUCAGGAUCAUUGCUUGGAUGAAAAGCAUCCCAUUGCAUUGGAAAACUACUCACGUCAAUCGAGUUUCGGAUCUCUUUUUUUCCCCUUUCUUUAAAUGUCCUCGUGUAUGCCCAUGUGAAUGUGGGUGUAUUCACGAGGACACCCUUUUUUACCCUAUCCCGUCUGGUGUCAUUUAACUCUUCAGAGGAUGGAUGGAGCACUUGUGGAAUGCCUGGCUGUAUUUCCCAGGCAUAAAGGUAGGACAACAUUGAUCUCUAGUCUUCCUUUGUGACAAUUUUUGGUGGCGUUGGUUAUUACUCGUGUCAUAGUACGGAGUAAGAUUUUUGCUGAGCUAUGCGACUGACUGGGACUGUUUUCUCUUAGCGUUUUUGUAGGGACGAAAUUGAUCUCUAUUUUUCCUAUACGACAAUUUUUGGUGGCGUUAAUUAUAAACCGUUACGUAGUCACGAAGUAUGUUGAUUCCUUAAAGCUAGGCGGUUGACUGCCACUGUUUUCUCUCUCCGUUUUUGUUUAUUUCUCAGAAUCUCAUUUGUCGAACGACUGCAGAUCAGGCUUGUUUUGUUUUUUACCUCACUACUUUUCCUGUGGGUAAACCAUCCCAUUCGAAAAUAAUUGAACUUUCAAACACUUCAAGCAAAGUGCAACAACAUAAUUUUUUGACCCAUAAGAGGGAUCUGCCGCCACACCGGCACCUCCUCGUUAUUUGGUCUUAUUGCUGAGAGAUGUUCGUCUAGGUCGGCAUCGCUGAUCUAAUGUCGAGGGGAUAAAUCGAGUCUCCACGGGCAGACGAGUUAGUCCGUAUAGACUUGGGUGAUGUGUGUUUGUGUGUACUAUCACUGGUCGUCAAGUUCUCCCCUUUUUUUCUUUCCUGAUGGAUGAGAUUCUUCUAUUAUUAUCGGACUAAAAGGACUGAAAGAACCUUCGACGGAGAAUGUCAACUAUGCCGGGGGGAAAAGAAAGGGGAGAAAAUAAGAUCGGGGUUCGUUCAGUCUCGACCUUAGCGACGCAUGUAUUGGUAUAGGGGCAGCAGCCAGUGCCACUGCCUUUAAACGUCAAUUAAAAAGGAAGGAAUUUUUCUCAUCGAACGACAAAGGUCCGUAUUAUAUGCAAAGCGAAGAGAAGGAAGACUAGAAAUUAGGAGAUAUAGGUCGCACACAGCUCACUGAUCGGUCGCCGCUGGUCUGCGGCAAAAGAAUGCUGCAGUUCCGUUCCAUAAAUUUCGAGAAGCGAUGAGCUCGUUUGUCACGAACUGAAUUUUUGACAAAGAUUAGGCCUAUACGGGGACAGCUGUCCAGACACAAUCUUGAUACAAGGUAAAUAUACGGAUCUAAAUGCCGUCCGAUGUCUGAUGGUACAUUCCUUUUGUGAAGGGAAAUCUAUUGGGCCCGCCGAAAAGGCAAACCACAUCUCAAUCUGUUCCACAAGAUGCCCAGCAGAGAGAUGAUCCCCAAUAACACAAGCAAGAAUCCAGGCGGCGACACAGAGAGCAGUCCACUUUUUCGGUCCUUCUUCUUCAUGGCGACGACU
Long non-coding RNA from Daphnia pulicaria, 1699 nucleotides. RefSeq lists it as uncharacterized. The record is from RefSeq and is a predicted model, not a curated record. Lineage: Eukaryota; Metazoa; Arthropoda; Branchiopoda; Diplostraca; Daphniidae. The transcript has 3 exons.